UUGAACAAGAACUAAACAAAAAAAAUGAGAAGUAGCCCUUCCCAAAUUACCCCUAUCAGCUAUUUCCCCCCUUUCCCGUCACUCAUUUGAACCUUCCAGAUUUGUUGAAAUCCCUAACCCUAGCCAAGCGGUGGCGUCGAAUCUCUCAUCCCGUUUCCAAGCUUUGAUUCUGUGUUUGGUUGAAUUCGGAUACCAGUCUCUAGUACCCCGCGAUUAAACGUCGAUAUUUUUCGGACUAUCAGGUGACGAGGGAAUUUGGGUUUGUGAUACGUUGCAGGAAAACCAACAUAGCUACACCUACGAGUAUCAAGAAACGGAGCACUUACAGAGGUACAUACUGCCCCUUCGGGUUGACCAUCUUCGGUUUGCAAUUGAGCUUGAAUUUGUAAUGAAAAUUGCGUGCUUUGUUUUGCUAACUUCAGUAAGUGGGGUGCUUUGAUUAUCUAGCCCGCCAUAAUAUGCUCCUUUGAGUUACAUAUAAUUUUGAAUUUAAUUCCACCAUUCCCUUUCUUCUUUUGUUUUGCCCUUAAUGUUUUUUGAAUGUGUGCAUAUGUAUCAUAUAGAAAGAGUAGUCAGGUACUUAUUUGGUGAUCAGCCUACCAAACAUUUUACACUACCAUUGCGCCAUAGCCACGAUGAGAACUCCAGUUAAUUCCGCGAGAUUACUAAUGAUGCUUGAAGACAUCAUGCUAUUAUACCGGGUAGAGAGCACAAUUCUCAUACAACAUUACAUCAGACCUUGCACAAACCGUUGAACAUGCAAGGCAGUACAACUUGAUAAGUAGGGUUCCUCAGCAAUUGAUACACUUGGAACGACUCAUUAAUGUCACUGAUGUUGACUGCAUAGCAAACUUAAGAAUGGAUCACAACACAUUUGGGAAGUUGUGUCGCAUCCUCACUAAGCAGGGAGGCUUGAGAACAGGGAAAUGCUUAGGCAUUGAAGAACAAGUGGCGAUUUUUUUGGGCGUCUUAGCGUAUCACAAUAAAAAUCACGUUGUUCGUUUCAUUUUUUUAGGUCCAAUUCUACAGUGUCCCACUACAUGAACAAGGUUUUGGGGGCUGUUUUGAGUCUCCACAAAGUGUUAUUGACGAAGCCUACACCCGUGCCGGAUGAUUGCAUUGAUCACAGAUGGAAAUGGUUCAAGGGCUGUCUCGGUGCACUCGACGGUACACACAUCAAAGUACUGGUUAACAACAGUGACAAACCGCGUUAUCGCACGCGAAAGGGGUCUAUUGCAACGAACACAUUGGCUGUUUGCUAUCGCAAUAUGCAGUUUGUUUAUUUCCUACCUGGUUGGGAAGGGUCCGCCGGCGAUUCUCGUGUACUCAAGGUUUCUGUGGCGCGACCCAACGGCCUAAGAGUUCCACAGGGUAUGCAGCCUGGUAGGGUAUGCAGCCUGGUCUAUCGUUGUUCUGAGGGCAUUGGAUGUUAUUUUUGUGCGUGCUUUCAGGUAUUGGGUUUAACUAUGUUUGCAAUCUCAUUAAUCUGUGGACCGUUUCAGUAGAUGAUUCCGCGGGGCAUGGACGGGCAUGUUUAAAUGAUUCCAUUAGAUGACCAAGAGUGUCUUUUAUUUCUCUUGCUUGUUUUGAGGCUUGCAAUAUAUUUUCAAACCAAGUCCAUUAAAUAAAUGCUUUAAGAAUCA
Molecule: long non-coding RNA, 1643 nt
Organism: Salvia splendens (bonfire salvia)
Lineage: Eukaryota; Viridiplantae; Streptophyta; Magnoliopsida; Lamiales; Lamiaceae
Exons: 2
Source: RefSeq, a predicted model, not a curated record